RNAcentral lists this ribosomal RNA (245 nucleotides) under uncultured Bacteroidales bacterium. RNAcentral describes it as "partial 16S ribosomal RNA". It matches the Rfam family "Bacterial small subunit ribosomal RNA", at positions 524 to 768 of the family's 1533-position model. Lineage: Bacteria; Pseudomonadati; Bacteroidota; Bacteroidia; Bacteroidales. The record is from RNAcentral.
UACGGAGGAUGCAAGCGUUAUCCGGAUUUAUUGGGUUUAAAGGGUGCGUAGGCGGAUUAUUAAGUCAGUGGUGAAAACCUGCAGCUUAACUGUAGACUUGCCAUUGAUACUGUUAGUCUUGAGGGUGGUCAAGGUAGGCGGAAUGUGUAAUGUAGCGGUGAAAUGCUUAGAUAUUACACAGAACACCGAUUGCGAAGGCAGCUUACUGGGCCAUUUCUGACGCUGAUGCACGAAAGCGUGGGGAG